Molecule: long non-coding RNA, 1110 nt
Filed under: Homo sapiens (human)
Lineage: Eukaryota; Metazoa; Chordata; Mammalia; Primates; Hominidae
Description: long non-coding RNA NONHSAT242598
Source: RNAcentral
GGCUAGACAAUGUCUUCAAAAUAUGUAAAACUCUAAUAGCCUUCUCCACUUGCCAGAAAAGAAUGAGAUCUCUUAAUUUGUUCCAGCCCCAGUCAUCAGCCCAAAGAAUUACAGCUCCUGAGACUCAUCAUUUGCCAAUCCUGAGAGAUGUCCAGAUUUGAGACUACUCAUACCAGAACUCCAUUAUGCUGACAUGUGCCUGGCCUUCAAAAUGAAGGUGGAAGUGUGUAGUUUUCUCUGCUGUGUUAAAUGCCCUAGUCAGGGCUUACAUAUAAGAACUAUCUGAGAAUGAUAGUGCAACAAAACAAGAAAAUAUAUCUUCAAUUCAUAUUGUUAUUAGAUAAACAUCCUUGCUUACUUUAAAAAUCAUUUCCAGGACAAAGUAGCCCUUGAGAGUCUUGACAGUCUGUGCCUCAACCACAAUCUAUUGUAACCCAGCCUGAUAAUUUCAGCAAAUGAAUCUUAGAUGCAAAUGUACCAGUAAUGCUUUUAGUCUACAAUUUAUUUCUGACAUUAUUGUCUACCCUAGAGCUGUUUAAAUUAUUUAAACUAGAAAAAUAGUGAUGGGUUUGAAAAUGAAAACUAAAUAAUCAAACAUGGCCAUCAAAAUACUCCCAGGUAAUCACUGGAUUCCUAAAGCAAAGAUAAUUGGUAAAAUCAGAUUUUGUUUGAAGUCCAUGUCAUCGUGAGCUACUUGGUCAUGCCUACAGUAAAGAUUCAAACAUUAUUGGUAAGAGAAGUUUUGAUGUGCCCAACUUUUACUCUCACCUUUUUCUCACCCAAACCUGAACUGAAAUUUUAAAAAUAAAAACAAUAAUAAAUCAAUUGCUUCUGGGCCACCAGCAUUGCCCAACCUUCAGCAAUGUAUUACUGAAGCAUUGACUAUAUAAAAGAUGUAUGUUAGGGGCAGCCUGGACAUGAUGGAUAAGACAAAGAUGAAUAAGAAAAACACUUUUUUUCCUCCAAGAAAAAUAUCAUUCAAUGGAAGAGAAAGGCUCCAUACAUAAUAAAUGUAAUACUGUGUCUGGAAUUGGUGGGUUCUUGAUCUCACUGACUUCAAGAAUGAAGCUGCGGACCCUUGUGGUGAGUGUUACAGUUCUUAAAGAUGGU